Molecule: microRNA precursor, 140 nt
Filed under: Tursiops truncatus (common bottlenose dolphin)
Lineage: Eukaryota; Metazoa; Chordata; Mammalia; Artiodactyla; Delphinidae
Description: miRNA (ENSTTRG00000022082.1)
Source: RNAcentral
CUCAGUAAGAUUAGAAUUUCAGGUAAGUAAUAAAUCAUUUUUAGUGUUAGUGUGCUCCAUGCAAUAUUUGGGAGAUACUUAUGCUAAAAAUUAUUUGUUGUUUAUCUGAAAUUCUAAUUUCACUGGACAUCCUCUAGUUU